AUUGAACGCUGGCGGCAGGCCUAACACAUGCAAGUCGAGCGGAUGAAGGGAGCUUGCUCCUGGAUUCAGCGGCGGACGGGUGAGUAAUGCCUAGGAAUCUGCCUGGUAGUGGGGGAUAACGUCCGGAAACGGGCGCUAAUACCGCAUACUUCCUGAGGGAGAAAGUGGGGGAUCUUCGGACCUCACGCUAUCAGAUGAGCCUAGGUCGGAUUAGCUAGUUGGUGGGGUAAAUGCCUACCAAGGCGACGAUCCGUAACUGGUCUGAGAGGAUGAUCAGUCACACUGGAACUGAGACACGGUCCAGACUCCUACGGGAGGCAGCAGUGGGGAAUAUUGGACAAUGGGCGAAAGCCUGAUCCAGCCAUGCCGCGUGUGUGAAGAAGGUCUUCGGAUUGUAAAGCACUUUAAGUUGGGAGGAAGGGCAGUAAGUUAAUACCUUGCUGUUUUGACGUUACCAACAGAAUAAGCACCGGCUAACUUCGUG
This 484-nucleotide ribosomal RNA is filed under the name uncultured bacterium. RNAcentral's name for it is "partial 16S ribosomal RNA". It matches the Rfam family "Bacterial small subunit ribosomal RNA", at positions 30 to 507 of the family's 1533-position model. The record is from RNAcentral.